CUUAUAUCUGCUUCCAAGACUGCUACAAUUACCUGAAGCAAGAAACGAGCACUCUAAACUAAGGUAGACUAUGGGAAGACCUUUAGAAGUUCUCAGUGACCUCCCACCUAGCUCUCUAAACCUAUUUCUCUCAUUCCAAACCCUCGCUAUUCUAUUCCUCUUCCUCAUCUGUACUGAGAAACUGCGGUCAGCACCUCAGGGUGGCUACAUAAUUUGUGGGGCCCAGGGUAAACGAAAAUGCAAGGCUCCUUGUUCAAAAAUUACCAAGAAUUCCAAGACGGCAACAGCAGAGCGUUAAACCAAGUCCAGGGUGGUUCUGAGCACGGGGCCGUGGGCAGCUGCACAGCUUCACACCCACGACGUCAGCGUUCUGUGUCCGCGUUUCCGCGUUCGGCCUUGCAGACUUCUGAGGACGCCAUCGCGGAUCCUGAUUCCCAGACACUGCCAAGAGCUCAUUUUCGUUUCUCCCAUGGUGACAUCAUCUUGUGUCCUCCCUGUUGGUGGUAGCCGGUUCUCCUCGUUGUUUAGCUAACUUUCCACCUUCUCUGAAACUCUGCAGCAACCGUCCCUCCCCAGCCUUUUUCCUAAACGUGUAUCUGGAAUCCACUGCUGGAUCCUACAGCUAAGAGAUUGUUAACGUUACUCCCGAAGAAGUUUAUAACUGAUGGUUUUCCUUUUUUCACAGCUCUAAGUUCAGGACAAUAACUGGAACAGGAUGUGUGUCUUGAAGAGGUUGAGGCAGAUAAAUAUACUGAAUACACCACACUGUCCUGACCAGGCCAGGAAGUCUAGUGUGUACUGGGUUCCCAAGACUGAUGAUACACCUACCUCUAAUGACGUGGUCCCUCCGAAAUAUCCACUCUAGCCUGCAGGAGAAUUGCCACAGCCUCAGGAAUAUGGGGCUGGGCUGGAGGGUGUCAGUUGAACUUCUCGGCAUUCUCACGUGGCUCUCACUCUUUUGGACUUACUAUCUGCGAUUGCACAUCUGCCAGUGUCCUUUGUCUGUUAUUGGAGAAUGCUGCUGGCCUCUUUGCUGUGUAUCCUGAUUGCAGUGACUUCCUUCUGUAGCUUCUAGAUAAGCAAAUUUUCUUGAUUUAUCAGGAGGUGUCUUUGGUCUCUCAGUCAAUUCGAUCUUAUUAUUGACAUUUAUCAACAUGGUGGGUGUAAGAUCUUUUAAUCUAACAAGUUACAUACAUACAUUUUCAAAUACUAAGUGAUUCUUGCGUUGCUGGAAUGCAUGCUACUAGUUUGUAAGCCUUUAAAAUUUUUUUCAUAUAUUACUGGAACAAAAUAUAUUCAAGAAUUUAUUAUAUGAUAACAUAAGUUACUUCUCAAUUCAGUGUGGUAAAGAUGGACUUUCAAUAUAAGGUGUUGUGAAAAGUGGGUAAGAUAUAGAAAAAUGUUAAAUUAGAUUCAUCUUUUACACUGUACACCAAUGUACUCUACAAAUAUGCCCAUGAUUAAAUGUAAACUAUGAUGCAAAAAGGUAAAGGUACAAGAAGAAAAUAUCUGUGCAUUCCCCUAUAAGUCUGGAGUAGAAAAAGUCUUUCUAAACCAAGUCUCAAAAUGCAGAAACCAAGGAUAAGAAAAAGGUUGAUAAAGUAGAUACAUAAAAAUAGAAAAGUUCUACAUGGCAAAAGACACCACGAACAAAUCUAAAACGAUUACGAAUUGAGACGAAGCAUUUGAAAUAUAGAGCAGGAGCAACACUUUAAAUGCCCCUAGAUGCUUUCUCUAAUCCUUUAAAAGCUCCUGGAAAUUGAGAAGAAAAAGAUCAACUUGAAACAAAACCUACAGUUCACAGAAAAAGAAACACAAAGGAUCCCACCAUAUGAAGAGAUGUUCAACCUUACUCAUAAUAAGAAAAAAGCACAUAAAAACUACUCUAAGAUAAUCCUGUUCAGCACCAGAUUACCAAAGCUCCCAACAGCAAGCGGGGGAAGAAAGCGUGUACACAUCGCUUGAAUAGGCAUCCAAAAUGGAGCCAACGACAGGAGGGCAAUUUGGCCAGACCAGC
This 2017-nucleotide long non-coding RNA is filed under the name Equus caballus (horse). RNAcentral describes it as "lncRNA (ENSECAG00000058928.1)". Lineage: Eukaryota; Metazoa; Chordata; Mammalia; Perissodactyla; Equidae. The record is from RNAcentral.